GUGGUUUAAUUUGAAGCAACGCGAAGAACCUUACCAAAUCUUGACAUCCUUUGACAACUCUAGAGAUAGAGCCUUCCCCUUCGGGGGACAAAGUGACAGGUGGUGCAUGGUUGUCGUCAGCUCGUGUCGUGAGAUGUUGGGUUAAGUCCCGCAACGAGCGCAACCCUUAAGCUUAGUUGCCAUCAUUAAGUUGGGCACUCUAAGUUGACUGCCGGUGACAAACCGGAGGAAGGUGGGGAUGACGUCAAAUCAUCAUGCCCCUUAUGAUUUGGGCUACACACGUGCUACAAUGGACAAUACAAAGGGCAGCGAAACCGCGAGGUCAAGCAAAUCCCAUAAAGUUGUUCUCAGUUCGGAUUGUAGUCUGCAACUCGACUACAUGAAGCUGGAAUCGCUAGUA
RNAcentral lists this ribosomal RNA (400 nucleotides) under Staphylococcus aureus. RNAcentral's name for it is "bacterial SSU rRNA". It matches the Rfam family "Bacterial small subunit ribosomal RNA", at positions 941 to 1340 of the family's 1533-position model. The record is from RNAcentral. Lineage: Bacteria; Bacillati; Bacillota; Bacilli; Caryophanales; Staphylococcaceae.